AUCUGGGAUAGCUCAGUUGGUAGAACAUGAGACUCUAAAUCUUAGGGUCAGGGGUUCAAGUCCCAUGCUGGAUG
Molecule: non-coding RNA, 74 nt
Organism: Podarcis lilfordi (Lilford's wall lizard)
Lineage: Eukaryota; Metazoa; Chordata; Lepidosauria; Squamata; Lacertidae
Source: the annotation of a GenBank genome assembly